Cyclopterus lumpus (lumpfish) is the source of this 3006-nucleotide RNA transcript. It is a transcript of the gene named ATPase Na+/K+ transporting subunit beta 3a, with no coding region annotated. The transcript is spliced from 6 exons. The record is from RefSeq and is a predicted model, not a curated record. NCBI's taxonomy places the organism in Eukaryota, Metazoa, Chordata, Actinopteri, Perciformes, Cyclopteridae.
UGCAUCAGGGGCUUGUGUCGACGUCACUGGUUUUUCUCUCCGCUUUCCCUUCCUUCCCCUUCUCGUUUUUGUGUGUUCCACGAGAGGAUCUCUCUCUUUCGGUUUUUCCCUCUCUCGACGCCGCCCACUUCACCCACCGCCGCCUCGUCGGCUUUCUUCGCCUCAUUCCAUCGCCUGGUCCUCUUUUUUUCUGCACAUUUUUUUUUUUCAAAAGAAAGGUUACCGCGCAUUUUUUUGGGGGGACCAAAAGAGUAUCACCAUGGCGAGCACCGAGGACAAACCGGCCACCAAGGAGAACACGUCCAGCUGGAAGGACUCCUUCUACAACCCGAGGACCGGGGAAGUGAUGGGUCGCACGGCCAGCAGCUGGGCCCUCAUCCUGUUGUUCUACCUGGUGUUCUACUGUUUCUUGGCUGGCAUGUUCGCCCUGACCAUGUGGGUGCUGCUGAUCAGUCUGGAUGACUAUGUGCCGAAGUACCAAGACCGCGUUCCCCAUCCAGGGUUGGUGAUUCGUCCCAAUUCUCUGGAUAUGUCAUUCAACAAAUCUGACCCCCUGAAGUAUGUACAGUAUGUCAAGCACCUGGAGUCUUUCCUGCAAAGAUAUAAUGAUUCACAGCAGGACAAUAACGAGGACUGCCCCAGAGGAGAGUAUUUUCUGCAGGACGACACCGAGGACAUGAAUAAGAAAGCUUGCCUCUUUAAGAGGGGCUUCCUGAGUCUCUGCUCUGGUCUCUCUGACACCAACUUUGGAUAUUCUGAGGGGAAACCCUGUGUGCUGCUGAAAAUGAACAGGAUAAUUGGCCUGAAGCCUCGUGGGGAUCCCUACAUCAACUGCACUGUCAAAGUAAACACUUUUUUUACACACUAUAUUCUACAUGUUGUAGUUGCUUUUAUGUCUUUUUUUUCAUUUCGUUCAUAUAAAAAAAAAAAACAUUUAAAAAAAAUCCCUGAUGACCAUAACAGUGUCAAUAUUUUUCUUUCUGUUGAUCUUUCAUUUUGUCCUUCUUUUUGUUUUUUUGUGUCCGAUUUCUUUCUGCAUGCUGUCACUGACGGCUUUAGGGUAAGAUAUGUAAAUUGUCAGGAUAAGGCCAGUAGAGGUGUUAACACAUUUUUAUGAUGUAACAAGUCAUUAUGCAGGGGCCUCUAAACCCAUCCUAGUGCCCUUUUCAAGUCAUUUUAAUCUUAUAGGCGCAACUUUCAGCCACAAAUGUCCUUAACGCAGAACACUACAUGUUUUCAUUUCAAUCUCCUCACUAACAAACAGAGGGCCAUUGCUUUUCCUUUUUUUCCAAGUCCUGUCUCGUGAUCUUGGAAAAAUGUCUCAUGUGCUAUUCAUUUCCCAUAAUGAGCUGCAUUUCAUUUAAUGUAUACUUUGCAUUGACUAACACGUGUUCUUCUGUGUAGAAAGAGGGCCCGAUUCAAAUGCAGUAUUUCCCCAGUGAGGGGCGCAUUGAUAAGAUGUAUUUCCCCUACUACGGCAAGAAAGCCCAUGAGAACUACGUCCAGCCCCUUGUGGCUGUGAAGCUGCUGCUCACCAAGGACGACUACAACAAGGAGCUGCCGGUGGAGUGCAGGGUAGAGGGCACCGACCUCCGCAACAACGACGAAAGGGAUAAGUUCCUGGGUCGUGUUACCUUCAGGAUCAAGGUGGUCGAGUAGAAGAGAAGACAGCUGUUCGGAGGAAAACCAGAUGCAGAAGCUGCCACGUUUGCUAAGGGUUUAUGUUCAACAUUUUAAGAAAGAAGGAAGUGUUAGAUAUGUCACAAAGACAACAUUUUGGGAUGUGGCCAAACAGUUAGAUGUAGAUAGGAGAGCCGGUUAGAUAUUGAAUGUUGCUAUGCUGACAUUUGUGACCCUUCUUUCCUUCACGAUCUCCUCAAAGAUCAAAGAUGCAGGUUCUGCUCCUGACCCCAUUCAUCCGUUCUUUCAUUCACCAGUUGCACUGUUCAUCCUUCACUCAGUUUAUUAUUAUCAUUGUUAUUAUUUUUUUAGUAUUGAUGUGAUUAGAAAACGUUUAGCCACUGCAACCGAGCUGUUGUGUAAUUGCUGAUACAACUUAUUUUUUAUGUUUUAUAGAUCUUUCUGCUGUCAGGAAGAGAGUGUUGUUUUCAUCUCUCCAAACUGUGUGUACGGCUGCAUUAUUGCUGGUGUUGAGAGGAUUUGUAUCUUGUUGUAUAUUAUAAUUGAGAAAGUAGAACAUUUCCAACACACAUCUCCAGAGUAUUUCACAUAUCACAUCACAAAGACUUCAUAGGAACGUACCUUGAUAAUCAAGUAUAGCCACUGUAUCCCUGUAUAUGAAAUGCCAAUUACAAAGUCCCUUUCUACAUAUAAAUACAUUGUGAUCUUUAUCAUAUUUAGGGAAUUAUAGAUAGAUCUCGGUGUUGUGGUCUGCGUAGCCACAACCCAGUCUUGUGCUGUCUGUCUGCAUGUCUGUCUGUCUGUCUUCCCAUCUUCCUGUUUACUCACCUCUUCACUGCAAUAGCCAACAUGUGGGUGAGCCCUCCAGGACUAGAUACGUUGUCCAGCUCCACCUCGCGAGUUGCUGCGUACUGAUGGUGGCUGAGGCGACACACACACACAAGAAGGUACAGUUUAAAAAAUAUAAAAUAUAAGUCGCUGGGAAAGCAUUGCAAAAAUAAAAAGUUCACUGUAACUAUGUACUGUAUAUCUUUAUGUGAUCUGUAUAUCUAUCUGGGUCACAAAGAUUGUUUGUUAGUUUUCUCUCUUCUUCGACCUUUUGAUCUGAUUGUCUGCCAAUCUAUUACUCUUCAAUGUAUAUAUACACUAUCUACCAUAUUUACUUCACACCGUAUUUUUGUCACAAAACACAAUGUCUGUGCACUGUAAAAAAAUAAUUUAAGCAAAGAUUUACAGGAAAUUAUUAUUAUUCAAAGCUAUGUUUACACAGUCUUAAAAGGAACCCGCAUUUGAAAAACCAACUUGUAACAUCUCUUCAGGGUGCCUUAAGACCUGAUGAAAUAAAUUGUGGAAUAAAAGUGAUUU